UUCGAGUAUUGCAAUUGCCUCUCCCGAAAAGACCGAAUUCAGAUAGGGGGAUUUAAAACUGAGUACGACAUUGAACUUGGGGAACCAAACCGCGGCUCCCAAGUCGCCAUGUUCGUGUAAUUUUGAAGCGUCGGUAAAAACAGUAGUCCAGUCAUGCCAUUCUCUCUUAACUAUAUCGUUGAAGACUUGGUUUGCUCCAGGGGUAUCUUUCAUGAUGCCAAAACUAAGAUAGACUGUUGGGCGAAACGUUAAACAUUUAAAAUCAGUUUCAAACAACGGGUUCAUAUAAUUUUGGUAAAUAGGGAAUGGGAGAUUGGAAAUUUUGUUAAAACUGUUGAUAAGAAGGGGGGGUUUCUUGUGUGACCAAUAAUUGGAGGAAGGGAUAAUCUCCGACAAGGAUUGCAAUACGGGAAGCAAAGGGUGAGAAGAAUAUUGAAAGAUCUUGAAGAGGAAUCUAUUAGCAAGGAAUUGUCUACGUAGAUGUAGAGGGGGCUCCAGACAUUCGACUUGAAGAGCGUUUGUUGAAGGAAGCCGCCAUAAUCAAAAUGACUUCUAAUGAUUGCGUUGUACAGGAGCUUUUGGUUAUACGGAUGUGAUCCCCAACGAACACCAGAAAGUGCACUUUCAGGGAGGCGUCUCUUGCGGGAAAAAACGACAGCUGUGCUUUUGUUAGCUGAAAGAGAGAGGCCGUGAUCG
Hyposmocoma kahamanoa is the source of this 696-nucleotide long non-coding RNA. RefSeq lists it as uncharacterized. Lineage: Eukaryota; Metazoa; Arthropoda; Insecta; Lepidoptera; Cosmopterigidae. The transcript is spliced from 3 exons. The record is from RefSeq and is a predicted model, not a curated record.